CGUACAUUAAACACUUUCGUUGGCACUACUCCCUCUUCGUGACUCAUAGCAAUUCCACAAAUCCAAGUUUAUGGUAUCAAAUUGCAUGGUCAAACAACAGGCUACUUAAACGGCUCCUGUUACUAAGCUCGUUUUGGAUACAGCCACUUGUCCGUAACAUCUGUCCUAUUCAAUGCAUCAACGAAAUUGUUUUCAGUGAUCAUUUUUUAUCAUAAUAAAUUGAAAAAUUCAUAGUCUUAAGCGACUUGAAAUGUGGGAAUCGUAAAUAUAAUAUUUAAUAAUUGUAUACUAUGCACAAUAAAUGCAUACAGUAUUUCUAUAUUUAUUAUUUUGCUAUAAAUAU
This 343-nucleotide unclassified non-coding RNA is filed under the name Bombus terrestris (buff-tailed bumblebee). Its description in RNAcentral is "misc RNA ENSBTSG00005022847.1". The record is from RNAcentral. Lineage: Eukaryota; Metazoa; Arthropoda; Insecta; Hymenoptera; Apidae.